RNAcentral lists this ribosomal RNA (597 nucleotides) under uncultured bacterium. RNAcentral describes it as "bacterial SSU rRNA". It matches the Rfam family "Bacterial small subunit ribosomal RNA", at positions 1 to 601 of the family's 1533-position model. The record is from RNAcentral.
UAGAGUUUGAUCCUGGCUCAGAUUGAACGCUGGCGGCAUGCUUUACACAUGCAAGUCGAACGGCAGCGGGGGCUUCGGCCUGCCGGCGAGUGGCGAACGGGUGAGUAAUACAUCGGAACGUAUCCUUGAGUGGGGAAUAACGCAUCGAAAGAUGUGCUAAUACCGCAUACCUCUAAGGAGAAAAGCAGGGGACAGAAAUGCCUUGCGCUGAAGGAGCGGCCGAUGUCUGAUUAGCUAGUUGGUGGGGUAAAUGCCUACCAAGGCGACGAUCAGUAAUUGGUCUGAGAGGACGACCAGCCACACUGGGACUGAGACACGGCCCAGACUCCUACGGGAGGCAGCAGUGGGGAAUUUUGGACAAUGGGCGAAAGCCUGAUCCAGCCAUGCCGCGUGAGUGAAGAAGGCCUUCGGGUUGUAAAGCUCUUUUAGUCGGAAAGAAAAGAUCGUAAAUAAUACUUGCGAUUAAUGACGGUACCGACAGAAAAAGCACCGGCUAACUACGUGCCAGCAGCCGCGGUAAUACGUAGGGUGCGAGCGUUAAUCGGAAUUACUGGGCGUAAAGGGUGCGCAGGCGGUUUGUAAGUCAGAUGUGAAAUC